GAUGAACGCUGGCGGCGUGCCUAAUACAUGCAAGUCGAGCGAACAGACGAGGAGCUUGCUCCUCUGACGUUAGCGGCGGACGGGUGAGUAACACGUGGAUAACCUACCUAUAAGACUGGGAUAACUUCGGGAAACCGGAGCUAAUACCGGAUAAUAUAUUGAACCGCAUGGUUCAAUAGUGAAAGACGGUUUUGCUGUCACUUAUAGAUGGAUCCGCGCCGCAUUAGCUAGUUGGUAAGGUAACGGCUUACCAAGGCAACGAUGCGUAGCCGACCUGAGAGGGUGAUCGGCCACACUGGAACUGAGACACGGACCAGACUCCUACGGGAGGCAGCAGUAGGGAAUCUUCCGCAAUGGGCGAAAGCCUGACGGAGCAACGCCGCGUGAGUGAUGAAGGUCUUCGGAUCGUAAAACUCUGUUAUUAGGGAAGAACAAAUGUGUAAGUAACUAUGCACGUCUUGACGGUACCUAACCAGAAAGCCACGGCUAACUACGUG
RNAcentral lists this ribosomal RNA (497 nucleotides) under uncultured bacterium. RNAcentral's name for it is "partial 16S ribosomal RNA". It matches the Rfam family "Bacterial small subunit ribosomal RNA", at positions 28 to 507 of the family's 1533-position model. The record is from RNAcentral.